UACGUAGGGUGCAAGCAUUAUCCGGAUUCACUGGGUUUAAAGGGUGUGUAGGCGGGCUGUUAAGUCAGUGGUGAAAUCUCCGGGCUCAAUUUGGAAACUACCAUUGAUACUAUCAGUCUUGAAUCUUGUUGAGGUGGGCGGAAUAUGUCAUGUAGCGGUGAAAUGCUUAGAUAUGACAUAGAACACCGAUUGCGAAGGCAGCUCACUAAGCAAGUAUUGACGCUGAGGCACGAAAGCGUGGGGAUCAAACAGG
This 253-nucleotide ribosomal RNA is filed under the name uncultured bacterium. Its description in RNAcentral is "partial 16S ribosomal RNA". It matches the Rfam family "Bacterial small subunit ribosomal RNA", at positions 524 to 776 of the family's 1533-position model. The record is from RNAcentral.